This is a long non-coding RNA of Mus musculus (house mouse), 1417 nucleotides long. RefSeq annotates it as predicted gene, 39065. The record is from RefSeq and is a predicted model, not a curated record. Lineage: Eukaryota; Metazoa; Chordata; Mammalia; Rodentia; Muridae. The transcript has 3 exons.
CGUAGCAUUGAGGUGUUCCUGAAAUAAAGAAAGCUGUUGAGAAGAAUCUGACCGUGUUGCAUUUUUCUUGCUGAACGAGGUGAGCGCAACAAAUUGGUGGCCAGCACAGGGACCCGAGGAUCUCAUGGAUUCAGAACUCUUCAGCUGAGGAACGGUGGUACCGUCUCUUGAACAGAUUCACCUCUUAUCUGAGUAGGAAAUUGGUUGGCUAAAGCGGAGCAGUUGUCCAGAAAGCUGCUCCUCCAGAAUGCAAAACUCAACAGCACUCGACUGGAUCCUGUCACCUUGGGGGACUUCACCUCCUGGAUCACCAAUGCCUUCUCAUCUUUUAAGGAAUAGGCGGACGCGUGAACGUGUCCUCCAUCCGCUGCCUCAAAGACAGGAAACACCUGCUGUAAUUUUUGCCGCUCGUCUCGAGGGAUAAAAGAAUCUGAAUGAAAAUUUUCCACAUAAGGUGGAGGGGCACUAGGACUGGAAGACUGAACAACGACCUGACCCUUGCUUCCAUUCCUUUUGGACUUCCUCUCUGAUUCACUAGGCCGUCUUUCAUCAGGAUGAUAUCUCUCUUCCUCAUAACGAGCUGCUUCCUCCUCCAAAUCUUCCUCAUCAGUGGGACUAAGCUCCUCACUUGAAUCUGAACCAUCAAGUCCCAGAGCCUCAAGUUCCUUUACCGGAUGAAGGCUCUUCUUUUUGGGGGCCUCUUUUCCCCACUCCUCUCUCUUCUCUUCUGGGGCGUCCUUUCCCUAUUCUCUCACUUCAUCGGAUCCAGGGUCCAUGGAAGGGCCUUUUUUCUUAGGUAUACCUUUUUUUCUUUGAGCUCCUAAUCUUUUACCCCGCUCUGUUUCUGACAUGCUGUCUUGAAUACUCCUCCAGCACUCCCUGUCCUGCUUUCACUAUAAGGAAAAGGAUAAGUGCCGCAAGAACAAUUACGAAGGCUUCCACUGCCCCUUCUAGUUGUGGAGAAAGACCAGAACCAAUCAUGCCUCUCAGAGCUUACCUUAAAAACCUAACCUGGCUGCAGUUCUGAAUCUGCCCCGCAAACGGAGAGUCUCCUCGGCGCUGGUGAUGGUAAGGCGUUUCCCAGAUUUUGGCACCACUUCUCACGCGCUAUUGUCUCGCCAGCAAGAACACACACGCAAACAACCAGAUCCUUCUGCUGCAAUUCUUUAUUACGCUAGCUUCAGCAUGAAGAUGAAGACCCCAAGCCCCAAAAAGGCGCUGCUUAUAUACACCUCAGUGCGGCAUGUCCACACCUGAUUCGCUGCUCUCUCAGCAUGCCCCAGGAUGGGCAGUGACUUGGCGUGAACACACUCUUGCACAUGCGCAUAUUGCUUGUUUACCAGGUAGGCCACGCAGGCACAGUGGAAACCGCUUCCCACAGAAAUCUGUUCUUUGCUAAUAUGAAAGAAAGGAAUAA